GGAGAGGUGCCGGAGUGGUCGAACGGGGCGGUCUCGAAAACCGUUGACCCUGCAAGGGGUCCCAGGGUUCGAAUCCCUGUCUCUCCG
RNAcentral lists this transfer RNA (87 nucleotides) under Salipiger marinus. RNAcentral describes it as "Citreicella sp. CK-I3-6 tRNA". It matches the Rfam family "tRNA". Rfam says of the family: Transfer RNA (tRNA) molecules are approximately 80 nucleotides in length. Lineage: Bacteria; Pseudomonadati; Pseudomonadota; Alphaproteobacteria; Rhodobacterales; Roseobacteraceae. The record is from Rfam by way of RNAcentral. RNAcentral also lists the same sequence under 1 other name.